RNAcentral lists this ribosomal RNA (253 nucleotides) under uncultured bacterium. RNAcentral's name for it is "partial 16S ribosomal RNA". It matches the Rfam family "Bacterial small subunit ribosomal RNA", at positions 524 to 776 of the family's 1533-position model. The record is from RNAcentral.
UACGUAGGGUGCAAGCGUUGUCCGGAAUUAUUGGGCGUAAAGAGCUCGUAGGCGGUUUGUCGCGUCGAAUGUGAAAUCCCGGGGCUCAACCCCGGGCCUGCAUUCGAUACGGGCAGACUAGAGUUCGGUAGGGGAGUCUGGAAUUCCUGGUGUAGCGGUGAAAUGCGCAGAUAUCAGGAGGAACACCGGUGGCGAAGGCGGGACUCUGGGCCGAUACUGACGCUGAGGCAUGAAAGCGUGGGUAGCAAACAGG